CAUAGGUUAAUGAGGCGAACCGGGGGAACUGAAACAUCUAAGUACCCCGAGGAAAAGAAAUCAACCGAGAUUCCCCCAGUAGCGGCGAGCGAACGGGGAGCAGCCCAGAGCCUGAAUCAGUGUGUGUGUUAGUGGAAGCGUCUGGAAAGGCGCGCGAUACAGGGUGACAGCCCCGUACACAAAAAUGCACAUAUUGUGAGCUCGAUGAGUAGGGCGGGACACGUGGUAUCCUGUCUGAAUAUGGGGGGACCAUCCUCCAAGGCUAAAUACUCCUGACUGACCGAUAGUGAACCAGUACCGUGAGGGAAAGGCGAAAAGAACCCCGGCGAGGGGAGUGAAAAAGAACCUGAAACCGUGUACGUACAAGCAGUGGGAGCACGCUUAGGCGUGUGACUGCGUACCUUUUGUAUAAUGGGUCAGCGACUUAUAUUCUGUAGCAAGGUUAACCGAAUAGGGGAGCCGAAGGGAAACCGAGUCUUAACUGGGCGUUAAGUUGCAGGGUAUAGACCCGAAACCCGGUGAUCUAGCCAUGGGCAGGUUGAAGGUUGGGUAACACUAACUGGAGGACCGAACCGACUAAUGUUGAAAAAUUAGCGGAUGACUUGUGGCUGGGGGUGAAAGGCCAAUCAAACCGGGAGAUAGCUGGUUCUCCCCGAAAGCU
This 661-nucleotide ribosomal RNA is filed under the name Escherichia coli. Its description in RNAcentral is "partial 23S ribosomal RNA". It matches the Rfam family "Bacterial large subunit ribosomal RNA", at positions 165 to 867 of the family's 2925-position model. The record is from RNAcentral. Lineage: Bacteria; Pseudomonadati; Pseudomonadota; Gammaproteobacteria; Enterobacterales; Enterobacteriaceae.